This is a long non-coding RNA of Homo sapiens (human), 936 nucleotides long. NCBI's taxonomy places the organism in Eukaryota, Metazoa, Chordata, Mammalia, Primates, Hominidae. The record is from Ensembl.
CCCCCACUCGUCGGCCCUCAGCUCAGAGACCUAAUAGGAUGGGGUCUUAGAGAAACAUCUUUUGAGCCACAGACUUCUUUGUUACCAGAAGGAAAAUGAAAGAAGAAAUUUAAAUACCACUUGAAGAGAGAGAGUGUGAAGAAAUGACCCUGAAAAGCCUCUGGCAGAGGAUUCUUCUUUCAGGAUGGUGUCGCCUCCUCAGCAGCCCAUCCUCCUCCCCUGGACUCAAGCUCUCAUUCCAGUAACACUCCUUCCUCCUUCUCCAUCUUCAGGGGGAGGUUUGCCAGUCGGUGCUGCCCAGUUCAUGAGUGCUGCUGCUGUCCUGCCCAAGUACCCAGCUUGCAGAGUGCCAGAGUUAGAGUCCCAGGGGUGUUCUCCACAGCUGCAUGCUUGAUCCAGGCCUAUCAGGUGUUAUUUGUUGACGGAACCAGGCAUCAUCAGCAAACAAAACUGACAAAGCUUCCUGCCCUCUGUGGAAGGCAUCUGAGGAAGAGACUGGAUUUUGUAGCAACAUGUUAUUCUCAUUAUAAACUUUAUCAUUGGAAUACUAAAGCCAAAUCAUCCCCCAUCUCCUUGAUCAGGAUACCCACUUAAUCUAGGCAGCUACACAAUUGUGAGAGCCUUUGUUUUUUUCUGCUGAAACAUCCUUAAAAAGAUACCUCACAACCCAAGAUUUGGCUUUUCUUAAAUACGAUUUUUAAUUUUUUUCAUUUCUAUCUAGAGAUUUAAUUGGAAAUGGAAAAUCAUCAAUUUUCCAAUUAAAUGUCUGUUCCAAUCAACAUUAUACCUUUUAGGUUGUCAUUGUCAUUUUUAAGUUUAAGCAACUUUAAGGAUUUUGAAUCUGGCUGCCUGUAAAUUAAAGGUGAAAGUAAUCAUUGUGUUGGAUUGGAACAUUUUGUCAAUUGAGAGUGGUUUCCUUGUUCUUAGUGUAUGAAA